This is a long non-coding RNA of Bos taurus (domestic cattle), 1474 nucleotides long. NCBI's taxonomy places the organism in Eukaryota, Metazoa, Chordata, Mammalia, Artiodactyla, Bovidae. The record is from Ensembl.
GGACUGGAUGGGCUGGCUUUACUCCUGUCACAUCCUAUUGGCUAAAAACCAGUCACAUGACCUCAACUAACUGCAAGGGAGGCUGGGAAAUGCGCUCUGGUUUGGUGGGGGUGGGGAGGAGAAAGUUGGGGGAACUCCAACAAUCCCUUUUACUAUAGAGGAAGACAAUUUUAAGUGAUAUAAAGUACACUCAACCUACUUGAAGGAAAAAAAAAGUCAAUUUUUGAGCUUAAUUUUUUUAAAUUACAAAUCUCAGAAGGCUAAGCAACAUUUUGUGGUGACUUUAUUUGGCAAAUGGAGGGCAGUGCCUGCCCCUCUUAACCCUGGCGCCCUGCAGCGAAGGCUACCCAGGAUGGCUCUACAGCUCAGAACCUCGGUUUCCCUGCUGGUUUAGGUCCGAGUUUAGACUUGACGGGAAUUCAUCAGGGAACCACAUAGCGAACGCCAUGAGCUAUUCAGAGGCCUGGGAGAUGAGUAUCACCUGUACUGGGGGAUAAUAGCUGGCCACACCGCAGGAAGUUGGCAAAGAAAGUGACGACUCAAGGAUAAGCAAGUCAUGGGGAAGAAGUGGUUGGCCAACUCCAAAACACAGAGAACUGCCCCACCAAAGCCACCCGAAGGAAACAGCCUACACUGAGAAAGCAGUGAGGUCCCUGCGGGAAAACCUUAGGGCAGGAGUCACUCACCCUAAGCCGAUGGUGACCGGAAGAGCCCCCAAGAGGCCAGGCUGGUUGAGAUGACACAGUGCCAUGGCUUAAGAAGAGAACAAUCCAGUUUGUAUGUGGAGAAUGGAGAGUGUUUGGAGAGGGGAUCUCCAGAAUUUGUCCUCCAGAAAUGGAUGGAAAUAACACAAGGCAGAAGCUGAAAUGUCAUAAAUGCGGUGUGGAUCCACUGCUAGAGGAGUUGAGCAGGAGGAAAGAUUUCUUCUGACUUGGAGAGAGGAGCGUCAGGGGAGCACAGGUGUCCCCCUGCUCCUGGGGGAGGAGGCAUUGAAGAGGUCCCAGGCCACAGGACUAGGACAUCCAGAAAGGUCGAAAAGGGAAGAAAUGUGCAACCAAGGGGUUAAAGUAAUGACUUCUGAAAGAGCUGAAAAUAUUUGGAUUUUUUAAAAGAUUUUUUUGUGGGCCAUUCUUAAAGUCUUUAUUGAAUCUGUUAAAAUAUUGGCUCUGCUUUAUGUUUUGGGUUUCUUUUUUUUUUUUUUUUUUGACUGUGAGGCAUAUGAAAUCUUACAUCCCUGAACAGAGAUUGAACUCAUACCCCGUGCAUUGGAAGGCAAAGUCUUAACCACUGGACCGCCAGGGAGGUCCCUAUUUUUAUUUUUUAUUAGAAAAUAUUUGAUUUUUCAUGGAUAAUCUAAGUAGUCAUUUAUUUGUAUAUUGUAAUCCCUUUUAAUUUCUAUAAUUGACAACAUGUGGUAUGGUAAAAUUGUUUUUAUAUUCAUCACAGUGGCACUUUACUCUCCAGAUAUAUUUGC